UUACGGGGCAGUUAUAUCCAUGUGUUUUUUCGACAACAUGGUAUAACUUCCCCGUAACC
Molecule: microRNA precursor, 59 nt
Filed under: Branchiostoma lanceolatum (amphioxus)
Lineage: Eukaryota; Metazoa; Chordata; Leptocardii; Amphioxiformes; Branchiostomatidae
Description: Bla-Mir-4872-P5_pre stem-loop
Source: RNAcentral